AACGAUAAUGCGGGUGAAAAACCCGCACGCCGAAAGCCCAAGGUUUCCUUGCGCAACGUUAAUCGGCGCAGGGUGAGUCGGCCCCUAAGGCGAGGACGAAAGUCGUAGUCGAUGGGAAGCAGGUUAAUAUUCCUGCACCUCGCGUAAGUGCGAUGGAGGGACGGAGAAGGUUAGGUGUACCCGGCGUUGGUUGUCCGGGGGAAAGGCGGUAGGUUUGGAUCUUUGGCAAAUCCGGGAUCCUUUAAGACCGAGCACCGAGACGAGCCUUUAAGGCGAAGUCACUGAUACCACGCUUCCAGGAAAAGCUCCUAAGCUUCAGCUUACGCAGACCGUACCGUAAACCGACACAGGUGGGUAGGAUGAGAAUUCUCAGGCGCUUGAGAGAACUCGGGUGAAGGAACUAGGCAACAUGGCACCGUAACUUCGGGAGAAGGUGCGCCCUUUUUGGUGGCUCAUGCGAGCUAUAGCUGAAGAGGGCCGCAGUAACCAGGCCGCUGCGACUGUUUAUCAAAAACACAGCACUCUGCAAACACGAAAGUGGACGUAUAGGGUGUGACGCCUGCCCGGUGCUGGAAGGUUAAUUGAUGGGGUCAGCCGCAAGGCGAAGCUCUUGAUCGAAGCCCCAGUAAACGGCGGCCGUAACUAUAACGGUCCUAAGGUAGCGAAAUUCCUUGUCGGGUAAGUUCCGACCUGCACGAAUGGCGUAACGACAGCGGCGCUGUCUCCACCCGAGACUCAGUGAAAUUGAAAUCGCUGUGAAGAUGCAGCGUUCCCGUGGCAAGACGGAAAGACCCCGUGAACCUUUACUAUAGCUUUACACUGAACGUUGAGUUCGUCUGUGUAGGAUAGGUGGGAGGCUAUGAAACUGUGGCGCUAGCUGCAGUGGAGCCAUCCUUGAAAUACCACCCUGUCGUGCUUGACGUUCUAACCUAGGUCCAUAAUCUGGAUCGGGGACCGUGUAUGGUGGGUAGUUUGACUGGGGCGGUCUCCUCCUAAAGAGUAACGGAGGAGCUCGA
Molecule: ribosomal RNA, 1016 nt
Filed under: Mycobacterium tuberculosis
Lineage: Bacteria; Bacillati; Actinomycetota; Actinomycetes; Mycobacteriales; Mycobacteriaceae
Description: bacterial LSU rRNA
Rfam family: Bacterial large subunit ribosomal RNA
Source: RNAcentral